Molecule: long non-coding RNA, 1119 nt
Organism: Zonotrichia leucophrys gambelii
Lineage: Eukaryota; Metazoa; Chordata; Aves; Passeriformes; Passerellidae
Exons: 2
Source: RefSeq, a predicted model, not a curated record
AGACGAGUGCUACAAAAGAGUGGGUUAGCUGGGUGAGGAGGGAGAUGGUGUUUGCUUUUUGUGCUGUGAAGAGUGAUGGAGUCAGUGCUGUGAGGAGAUGCCCAUGAGAAAUCACUGAGAAGGAACUCGAACACAAGGCCCACCACCACCAUCACCAGGAGAUGCUUUCAGUAUGGAUAAUGUGGAACAUUCUCAACCUCUGCUUCUGGAGCUGCUUGUAUAUUUAACAGUGCACUGUUCAGAGGGACACCAGUCCUGCUGGCCAGCAGAACAUUUCAUGGUAGUAUGGGAUAUACAGGUUUAACACCCUUCAUCUGGGUAAAUGAAGAACAAACCUCCACCUACUGCCUUACAAGAGGGCUAGGUGAGUGUCUGUUUCUGUGAGAAAAGCCAGACUGACAGGCACCUAACUCCAGGAAACAAUAGGGAUUCUUUUUCAAGUUUAGAGGUAAUAUCAGAGAUAUUGGUUGGUAUCUGAGGGCCCCAGCUUCUAGCACUUCUGUACCAGAAGUGCAUUGUGAGCCCAAGCAACUCAGGGACUGCUGACCACUAUGCAGGAAAAUGUCUAAUAGUCAUUAAACAGUGAGCCUGACCUUGGCCACAUUCCCCAUUUUGGCUCCAUGAAGAAUUUAGUGCCCUUAGCAUCUCUGCACAGCACACACACAAAUACACCCUCAACAUUACUGCUCUAUGUGGGGCUUGUAGCUUUUCAUGUAACUGCUCUCUACCUCACUUAGCUCAAAACAAUACCCUAUAGAAGACACAACUCCUUGAAUUGUAGUGUGCAAGCUGACUUGUGCAAUUUCAGACGGUUUGAGUGGGGCUGUGAGAUAGAUUUAUAAAGCUGCCAUUCACCCUGUCGUAACUUCUAUGUCCUUGAAGACAUAGAGGGGAAAGGCAAAUGGAGAGCUGGAGCCAGGAGAGAGCUGAUAAUCUCACCACAAGUUAGAUGCAGAAAAAGCUCAUCCAUCCCCACUGAAGUGCUGUUGGUGGACUGGUCUGCACUUCCUGGAGUUUAAAUGCCUCGCUUCAAAGUAAUAUUCUUAAUGUGAAUAAAUACCUGCUACAAAUACAACUGUGUAAAUGAGAUUAAAAGGGUCAGAAGCAGGAACUUCUAAA